ACCCUUUAAUGUUUGAUGUUCUAACGUGGACCCGUGAUCCGGGUUGCGGACAGUGUCUGGUGGGUAGUUUGACUGGGGCGGUCUCCUCCUAAAGAGUAACGGAGGAGCACGAAGGUUGGCUAAUCCUGGUCGGACAUCAGGAGGUUAGUGCAAUGGCAUAAGCCAGCUUGACUGCGAGCGUGACGGCGCGAGCAGGUGCGAAAGCAGGUCAUAGUGAUCCGGUGGUUCUGAAUGGAAGGGCCAUCGCUCAACGGAUAAAAGGUACUCCGGGGAUAACAGGCUGAUACCGCCCAAGAGUUCAUAUCGACGGCGGUGUUUGGCACCUCGAUGUCGGCUCAUCACAUCCUGGGGCUGAAGUAGGUCCCAAGGGUAUGGCUGUUCGCCAUUUAAAGUGGUACGCGAGCUGGGUUUAGAACGUCGUGAGACAGUUCGGUCCCUAUCUGCCGUGGGCGCUGGAGAACUGAGGGGGGCUGCUCCUAGUACGAGAGGACCGGAGUGGACGCAUCACUGGUGUUCGGGUUGUCAUGCCAAUGGCACUGCCCGGUAGCUAAAUGCGGAAGAGAUAAGUGCUGAAAGCAUCUAAGCACGAAACUUGCCCCGAGAUGAGUUCUCCCUGAGACUUAAAGUCUCCUGAAGGAACGUUGAAGACGACGACGUUG
Molecule: ribosomal RNA, 659 nt
Filed under: Salmonella enterica
Lineage: Bacteria; Pseudomonadati; Pseudomonadota; Gammaproteobacteria; Enterobacterales; Enterobacteriaceae
Description: partial 23S ribosomal RNA
Rfam family: Bacterial large subunit ribosomal RNA
Source: RNAcentral